GGUCCCUUAGCUCAGCUGGAUAGAGCACAUGCCUUCUAAGCAUGCGGUCGACAGUUCGAUUCUGCCAGGGAUCA
This is a non-coding RNA of Treponema porcinum, 74 nucleotides long. The record is from Rfam. NCBI's taxonomy places the organism in Bacteria, Pseudomonadati, Spirochaetota, Spirochaetia, Treponematales, Treponemataceae.